CCUACGGGAGGCAGCAGUGAGGAAUAUUGGUCAAUGGACGAGAGUCUGAACCAGCCAAGUAGCGUGAAGGAUGACUGCCCUAUGGGUUGUAAACUUCUUUUAUAUGGGAAUAAAACAGGGUAUGCAUACCCUCUUGUAUGUACCAUAUGAAUAAGGAUCGGCUAACUCCGUGCCAGCAGCCGCGGUAAUACGGAGGAUCCGAGCGUUAUCCGGAUUUAUUGGGUUUAAAUGGAGCGUAGGUGGAUUGUUAAGUCAGUUGUGAAAGUUUGCGGCUCAACCGUAAAAUUGCAGUUGAAACUGGCAGUCGUGAGUACAGUAGAGGUGGGCGGAAGUCGUGGUGUAGCGGUGAAAUGCUUAGAUAGCACGAAGAACUCCGAUUGCGAAGGCAGCUCACUGGACUGCAACUGACACUGAUGCUCGAAAGUGUGGGUAUCAAACAGGAUUAGAGACCCGAGUAGUC
This 460-nucleotide ribosomal RNA is filed under the name uncultured bacterium. RNAcentral's name for it is "partial 16S ribosomal RNA". It matches the Rfam family "Bacterial small subunit ribosomal RNA", at positions 338 to 795 of the family's 1533-position model. The record is from RNAcentral.